AGCGAACGCUGGCGGCAGGCUUAACACAUGCAAGUCGAGCGGGCAUCUUCGGAUGUCAGCGUAAGACGGGUGAGUAACACGUGGGAACGUAUCCUUCGGUUCGGAACAACUCUGGGAAAAUGGUGCUAAUACCGGAUACGCCCUGGUGAGGAAAGGUUUUCUGCCGAAGGAUGGGCCCGCUUCUGCUGUGCUAGUUGGUGGGGUAACGGCAUACCAAGGCGACGAUCUGGAGCUGGUCUGAGAGGGUGAUCAGCCACACUGAGACUGAGACACGACCCCGACGCCUACGGGAGGCAGGGGAGGGGGAUAGUGGGGAACGAGCGCAAGCCUGAGACAGCCAUGCCGGGUGGGUGAUGAAGGCCUUAGGGUUGUAAAGCGCUUGUGUCCGGGACGAUAGUGACGGUACCGGAAGAAGAAGCCCCGGCUAACUUCGUG
This 435-nucleotide ribosomal RNA is filed under the name uncultured bacterium. RNAcentral describes it as "partial 16S ribosomal RNA". It matches the Rfam family "Bacterial small subunit ribosomal RNA", at positions 30 to 507 of the family's 1533-position model. The record is from RNAcentral.